GCCCUUGGUGGCUCAGAUGGAUAGAGCGUCUGCCAUGUAAGCAGGAGAUAUCCCGGGUUCGAGUCCCGGUCAGGGCA
Molecule: non-coding RNA, 77 nt
Organism: Schistocerca serialis cubense
Lineage: Eukaryota; Metazoa; Arthropoda; Insecta; Orthoptera; Acrididae
Source: the annotation of a RefSeq genome assembly